UAGGGAAUCUUCGGCAAUGGACGAAAGUCUGACCGAGCAACGCCGCGUGAGUGAAGAAGGUUUUCGGAUCGUAAAACUCUGUUGUUAGAGAAGAACAAGGACGUUAGUAACUGAACGUCCCCUGACGGUAUCUAACCAGAAAGCCACGGCUAACUACGUGCCAGCAGCCGCGGUAAUACGUAGGUGGCAAGCGUUGUCCGGAUUUAUUGGGCGUAAAGCGAGCGCAGGCGGUUUCUUAAGUCUGAUGUGAAAGCCCCCGGCUCAACCGGGGAGGGUCAUUGGAAACUGGGAGACUUGAGUGCAGAAAAGGAGAGUGGAAUUCGAUGUGUAGCGGUGAAAUGCGUAGAUAUAUGGAGGAACACCAGUGGCGAAGGCGGCUCUCUGGUCUGUAACUGACGCUGAGGCUCGAAAGCGUGGGGAGCAAACAGG
This 429-nucleotide ribosomal RNA is filed under the name Gemmatimonadota bacterium. RNAcentral's name for it is "Gemmatimonadetes bacterium partial 16S ribosomal RNA". It matches the Rfam family "Bacterial small subunit ribosomal RNA", at positions 355 to 776 of the family's 1533-position model. The record is from RNAcentral. Lineage: Bacteria; Pseudomonadati; Gemmatimonadota.